RNAcentral lists this ribosomal RNA (429 nucleotides) under Acidobacteriota bacterium. Its description in RNAcentral is "Acidobacteria bacterium partial 16S ribosomal RNA". It matches the Rfam family "Bacterial small subunit ribosomal RNA", at positions 355 to 776 of the family's 1533-position model. Lineage: Bacteria; Pseudomonadati; Acidobacteriota. The record is from RNAcentral.
UGGGGAAUUUUGGACAAUGGGGGAAACCCUGAUCCAGCCAUCCCGCGUGUGCGAUGAAGGCCUUCGGGUUGUAAAGCACUUUUGGCAGGAAAGAAACGUCAUGGGUUAAUACCCCGUGAAACUGACGGUACCUGCAGAAUAAGCACCGGCUAACUACGUGCCAGCAGCCGCGGUAAUACGUAGGGUGCAAGCGUUAAUCGGAAUUACUGGGCGUAAAGCGUGCGCAGGCGGUUCGGAAAGAAAGAUGUGAAAUCCCAGAGCUCAACUUUGGAACUGCAUUUUUAACUACCGGGCUAGAGUGUGUCAGAGGGAGGUGGAAUUCCGCGUGUAGCAGUGAAAUGCGUAGAUAUGCGGAGGAACACCGAUGGCGAAGGCAGCCUCCUGGGAUAACACUGACGCUCAUGCACUAAAGCGUGGGGAGCAAACAGG